Molecule: small RNA, 30 nt
Filed under: Bombyx mori (domestic silkworm)
Lineage: Eukaryota; Metazoa; Arthropoda; Insecta; Lepidoptera; Bombycidae
Description: ovarian small RNA-36692
Source: RNAcentral
UUAGAAUGGUUGACUACCCUUCUGGGUACU